RNAcentral lists this non-coding RNA (29 nucleotides) under Rattus norvegicus (Norway rat). Lineage: Eukaryota; Metazoa; Chordata; Mammalia; Rodentia; Muridae. The record is from RNAcentral.
UGACAACACUUCUAGCUGCCUGUUUGUGC